AAAAACAUGUNUUUUUGAAAAUAAUAAAAAGUCUAAUCUGCCCACUGAAUUUAUUUAAAGGGCUGCAGUAUAUUGACUGUACAAAGGUAGCAUAAUCAAUAGUCUUUUAAUUGAAGACUUGUAUGAAUGAUUUGAUGAAAUAUGAACUGUCUCUUUUUUAAAAAUAAAAUUUAAUUUUUUAGUUAAAAAGCUAAAAUAAUUAUAAAAGACGAGAAGACCCUAUAGAGUUUUAUAGUUAUUUAAUUUAAAAAUUUUAUAUAUAAUUUAAAUUUAAAAUUAAUUAAUUAUUUUAUUGGGGUGAUAGAAAAAUUAAAAAAACUUUUUUUUAAAAUUUAACAUUAAUUUAUGAAAUUAUGAUCCAUAAUUUAUGAUUAAAAGAAUCAAUUACCUUAGGGAUAACAGCGUAAUUUUUUUUUUUAGUACAAAUAAGAAAAAGAGUUUGCGACCUCGAUGUUGGAUUAAGAUAAAAUUUAAAUGCAAAAGUUUAAAAUUUUUGAUCUGUUCGAUCAUUAAAAUCUUACAUGAUCUGAGC
The sequence is a ribosomal RNA, 532 nucleotides long. The stretch from base 395 to 532 matches the Rfam family "Bacterial large subunit ribosomal RNA", at positions 2473 to 2610 of the family's 2925-position model.